Molecule: ribosomal RNA, 433 nt
Filed under: uncultured bacterium
Lineage: Bacteria
Description: partial 16S ribosomal RNA
Rfam family: Bacterial small subunit ribosomal RNA
Source: RNAcentral
AACGAACGCUGGCGGCAUGUCUAACACAUGCAAGUCGAACGAGACCUUCGGGUCUAGUGGCGCACGGGUGCGUAACGCGUGGGAACCUGCCCUUAGGUUCGGAAUAACUCCCCGAAAGGGGUGCUAAUACCGGAUAAUGUCUUCGGACCAAAGAUUUAUCGCCUUUGGAUGGGCCCGCGUUGGAUUAGCUAGUUGGUAGGGUAAAAGCCUACCAAGGCGACGAUCCAUAGCUAGUCUGAGAGGAUGAUCAGCCACACUGGGACUGAGACACGGCCCAGACUCCUACGGGAGGCAGCAGUGGGGAAUAUUGGACAAUGGGCGAAAGCCUGAUCCAGCAAUGCCGCGUGAGUGAUGAAGGCCUUAGGGUUGUAAAGCUCUUUUACCCGGGAUGAUAAUGACAGUACCGGGAGAAUAAGCUCCGGCUAACUCCGUG